RNAcentral lists this unclassified non-coding RNA (202 nucleotides) under uncultured fungus. Its description in RNAcentral is "sequence contains ITS1". The record is from RNAcentral. Lineage: Eukaryota; Fungi.
UCGAGUUAGGGUCUCUCUAGGGCCCGACCUCCCAACCCUGUGUCUACCCUACCUCACCGUUGCUUCGGCGGGCCGGGCUUGACCACAACUGGUCUUGACCGCCGGGCCCACGCGGCCUGGAGAGCUGUCCGCCGACGGCCAUCACGCAAACUCUGUAUUGAAAUUGUGUCGUCUGAGAUGAAAACAUAUUUAAUCAAAACAA